AUCAUCAUGCCCUUUAUGACUUGGGCUACACACGUACUACAAUGGCGUUAAACAAAGAGAAGCAAGACCGCGAGGUGGAGCAAAACUCAGAAACAACGUCCCAGUUCGGACUGCAGGCUGCAACUCGCCUGCACGAAGUCGGAAUUGCUAGUAAUCGCAGAUCAGCAUGCUGCGGUGAAUACGUUCCCGGGCCUUGUACACACCGCCCGUCACACCAUGAGAGCCGGGGGGACCCGAAGUCGGUAGUCUAACCGCAAGGAGGACGCCGCCGAAGGUAAAACUGGUGAUUGGGGUGAAGUCGUAACAAGGUA
Molecule: ribosomal RNA, 311 nt
Filed under: unidentified low G+C gram-positive bacterium
Lineage: Bacteria; Bacillati; Bacillota
Description: SSU rRNA
Rfam family: Bacterial small subunit ribosomal RNA
Source: RNAcentral